This 779-nucleotide ribosomal RNA is filed under the name uncultured Actinomycetes bacterium. Its description in RNAcentral is "bacterial SSU rRNA". It matches the Rfam family "Bacterial small subunit ribosomal RNA", at positions 64 to 873 of the family's 1533-position model. The record is from RNAcentral. Lineage: Bacteria; Bacillati; Actinomycetota; Actinomycetes.
GAGGCCCAAGCAGUGGCAACACUGUGGAAGGCCUAGUGGCGAACGGGUGAGUAACACGUGAGGAACUUGCCCCGGAGACCGGGAUAACUCCCCGAAAGGAGAGCUAAUACCGGAUGUUCUCACUGAGUCGCAUGGCUCGGUGAGGAAAUGGAUUCCGCUCCGGGAGAGCCUCGCGGCCUAUCAGCUAGUUGGUGGGGUAACGGCCCACCAAGGCAUCGACGGGUAGCUGGUCUGAGAGGACGAUCAGCCACACUGGGACUGAGACACGGCCCAGACUCCUACGGGAGGCAGCAGUGGGGAAUCUUGCGCAGUGGGCGAAGGCCUGACGCAGCAACGCCGCGUGCGGGAUGACGGCCUUCGGGUUGUAAACCGCUUUCAGUGGGGACGAACCAAGACGGUACCCACAGAAGAACCCCGGCCACUCGUGCCAGCGCCGCGGUAACACGUAGGGGGCGAGCGUUGUCGGAUUUAUUGGGCGUAAAGAGCUCGUAGGUGGUCGGUAGUCCGUGUGAACCUCCAGCUCACCUGGAACGCCCCCGAUCUGCUGUUCUAGGUCCAUAGGGGAGCGUGAAUUCUGGUGUGCGUGAAUGCGCCAUAUCAGAGGACACACUGGCGAUGCGCGCUCUUGCUGGCCUGAGCUGAGAGCAAAGCGUGGGAGCGACAGGAUACAUCCCUGGUAGACACCCGUAACAUGCGGACUAGUGUGGGUCUAUCACGGUUCGUGCCCACUAAGGAUAAGUCCCUGCCGGGAGUACGCCCAAGCUAACUCAUUGAUUGCG